Long non-coding RNA from Mus musculus (house mouse), 1387 nucleotides. RefSeq annotates it as predicted gene, 30232. The record is from RefSeq and is a predicted model, not a curated record. Lineage: Eukaryota; Metazoa; Chordata; Mammalia; Rodentia; Muridae. The transcript is spliced from 6 exons.
AUGGAGGCCAGUGCUGUCCCAGCCUAGGCUGUGGAGGUGGGCUGACCUUCACCUGUCACUGUGUCCAGCCAUUCUGGGGUCUGCGUUGUGAGUGGGUGGCACGCUCUUGCCGAGAGCUGCAGUGCCCAGUGAGUAUUCCACUGAGUGGACCACGCUGCACUUGUCCUCCCAGGCUGUCCGGGCCCUCCUGCCGGAUUUCUAGGGCGUCACCCUCAGGAGCUAUUAACACCAGUUGCGCCUCUGCCCCUUGUCUGCAUGGGGGCUCGUGCCUACCUGUACAGAUUGUCCCUUUCUUCCGCUGUGUAUGCGCUCCGGGCUGGGGAGGACCGUGUUGUGAGACCCCUUCCGCAGCCCCUGAGGUCCCCGCCCGUGAGCAGCAUGCCAGGCCAAGCGAGGAGACCAGAACUGCGUGAGUGCAACAGCUCAGGCUGUGGCCGGGAAAGCAGUGACUGCUCGCUGAACGUGGACGACCCCUGGAGGCAGUGUGAGGCACUGCAGUACUGGCGUCUCAACAACAGCGGGUGCGACCAGACCUGCAGCUCUCCAGCCUGUCUCUAUGACAACUUUGACUGCUACUCUGGUGGCCGCACCUGCAAUCCGGCUUAUGAGAAGUACUGCACCGACCACUUUGCAGAUGGCCAUUGUGACCAGGGUUGUAACACUGAGGAGUGUGGCUGGGAUUGGCUGGACUGUGCCAGCGAGGUCCGGGUCCUUUUGGCUUGAGGGGUUCUGGUCCUCACAGUUCUUCUGCCUUCUGAAGAGUUGCUGUGCUCCAUUGCCGACUUUCUGCAGCAACUUAGUGCUAUUCUGCACAACUCACUGCGCUUCUGCUUGGACGCACGUGUCCAGGCCAUGGUCUUCCCCAGCUAAGCCCUGGCUCUGAAUACAGCUCUGAAUCUAGCUGGGUCUAGAGGUGAUCGGCUCUGUAGUAAUGCUGGAGAUUGACAACUGGCUCUGUCUGCAAUCAGCUGAGAAUGACCACGGCUUCCCUCAUGCCCAGAGUGCUGCUGACUACCUGGGAGCCUUGUCAGCAGUGGAGUGACUUGAUUUCCCAUACUCACUUCGGGAUGUGCGAGGUAGAGGAGCCAGGCAUGGGUGCUGAGAAGCCUGAGGACCCAACACCACUUGGUUGCUGCUGAUAUCCGUGUGGCACCAGCCACGGCGCUGACUCCACCUCAGGGAGAUGCAGAUGCAGGUGGAGUGGAUGUCAACGUCUGAGGGCCUGAUGGUUUCACCUCACUUACGUUGGCCUACUUCUGUGGGGAAGCCCUGGAGCCGAUACCAGCUGAGGAGGAUGACACAUAAGCCAGCAUCAUCUCAGAUUUGAUCUGUCAAGGGGCCCAGUUUGGGGCACGGACUGACCACACUGGCGAGACGAGACGGCACU